GAAGCAGCUAAAAAAUAUGGGGAAAUGAAGCAAAUACAGGCCCUGAUCCAAAGGCCACUGAACUCAGCAGAAGCACUGGAAUCAUGUGUGUCAUGAAUCACAAUUCACAAAUGCUAAUAAGGAAUAUUACUGUAUAUGUGUAAGGAUAAAGUCUGAUUGUCUAGUUGCAGUAUCUAGGCAUUCCACUUGGAUAAAAUGAGGACAUUUUUUCUCCAGCAGGUAGGGAGAGUUUCUCAGCAAGCAUUUAUUGCCAAUAUUUAUGGGAGAGUUUUUGGUCCCAAACGAACAGAAAUACUGGGAAACAAAAAGGAAAGAAAAUGUACCCAAGGAGGAGAUCCAGCUGCUUCCAAGUCAUUUCUAUAAAUAAAAUUCUGAUGUGAGCUCAUUAUCAUUUCCCUUUCCAGCACCGAUUUGCUUCCUCAAGUGUGCAUCUAAGGACUUGGGCUGCGCGUUGUAAAGUUUCCCUCGGCAACUGCUAAAAUUAUUCACGAGGCACUGCAGCAUGGCAGCAGCUAUCAGCUGUGGAACGCUUUGGAAUGUGCACUUCUGUUAUUACAAAUCCUGGCUGCAUUAGAUUGGGUCCCACCUGCUCAUCCAUCGAUUGGCUUAGGUAAGAGUGCCUUGUUUGAAGCCUCAGCAACCGCUGAGAAACCAGCACCACCGAGGAGCAGCAUCACAUCUCAUGCACUGCCUCUUCCAUGGGGGAGUUCAGAGCAGAUGAACAAUUUCUUAGCAACUGAGCCACAACCAAGAGCUGAGAAAGGACGGGAGAGAAAACACAAACCAAAUCGCCUUGCAAGUAAAAUACACAACCUGUUUGUUUAACCCAAUUUGUGCCAAAUAACAUUAUAGAUCCACUCAAUCUCAGCCACUUGAGGCUCACAAUCAAUGUUCUAAGAGCAGGAGAGGGAGGGUGAUGGAUCUGCUCUGAUUCAUACCUGGGGGAGACCCUCUCCUGCAACAGUCAGGGGUUCUACAUAAUGAGGUCGGCAGAGAGAACUGUGAAUUGAUUAUUAAUUAAACUGCUUGAUCACCUCCUUGGAAAAUGUAUGACCAAAUGUUGGUGCACAGAAAGUGAUUUACAUAAUCAAGUUUGAAUUUGACUCAUAAUACAGUACAAAACUACCUUAAUAAAUGGAAAUUUAAAAAAAUCA
This 1154-nucleotide long non-coding RNA is filed under the name Junco hyemalis (dark-eyed junco). Its description in RNAcentral is "lncRNA (ENSJHYG00000013542.1)". Lineage: Eukaryota; Metazoa; Chordata; Aves; Passeriformes; Passerellidae. The record is from RNAcentral.